Bufo gargarizans (Asiatic toad) is the source of this 3016-nucleotide long non-coding RNA. RefSeq lists it as uncharacterized. The record is from RefSeq and is a predicted model, not a curated record. The transcript has 7 exons. NCBI's taxonomy places the organism in Eukaryota, Metazoa, Chordata, Amphibia, Anura, Bufonidae.
AAUUUGAAGAUAUCAGCGCAAGCACCCACAGCAUCUGGGUUAACCCAUUCUUCACAUAGAAAGGAUAACUCAGAAUUGAACCAAGAAAAUUUUGGGAUGAUGUCAGAAAAUACGAGUACAACACCAUCAAAUAACGCAUUUUCAACUAGAAUGCAACCUGGACCCACAAAUUCAGGUUCUCAAACUGGCAGUUAAAGUGAUCUCCAAUCAAAUUUGAAGAUAUCAGCGCAAGCACCCACAGCAUCUGGGUUAACCCAUUCUUCACAUAGGUAAGUAAAUAAUAUAAUCAACAUAUUAACUGUAAUGUUAGGUGCCAUGUCAUCAUGGCUCACCACACUGAAAUUAUCAGUAUGGUUCGCUCCAUCAUUUUGACAGGAACCCCUGCUCUUAUACUGUAAACAGGGAUACGCUAUUCAAAUGUAUAUAUAUAUUUUUGUAUUAACUUUUUUUUUAAAUCGUUGCUGAAGGUCCAAAGCACACAAGAUAAAACCCUGUGACACAAACUCUUGUAUCGUGAAAGGGCAGUGGGUGAGGCUCAGCUUCAGUGUGGUGGGCCCAUAAGAGCUUGAUGCCCCCCUGCAGAAAAGAAGGGAAGACUUCAAAGAUAUGUAUAAAACUGAGGAUAGUCCUUACUCAGUAGGUAUUUAGGAGUAAUAUUUGCACACAAUUUUCCACCAUUUACUUUGUGCCUCUAUUUUUGUUACAGAUAUUGUCUUAACCCCUUAACGAGCCAUGAUGUAAAUACACAUCAUGGGGUCCUUAAGAGAGUAUGGAGAGGGCUUGGGACUUGAGUCCGCUCCAUACCCAGCGGCACCUGGCUGUUUUCAACAGCAGAGGGCUGUUGUUAAUACCCGGAGCAGAGCAAUCUCCGCUGUUGGCUAUUAACCAUGUAGAUGCUGCUGUCAAUACUGACAGAGGCAUUUAAACUGCCCAUGGCAGUCCUGUGUGUCAAUCACCAGGCAGAGUGGCUUGAUGUCAGCGGAGAGAGGCGCUGCGGACCCCUGGUCACUCUGGCACUGGUCACGGGGAUGCUAUAAAACAUGUUUUGUUUUAUUGGAAAGUAUCAAACUGCGAAGUAUUCAAACAAAGGUAUACCUGGCAUAUGCUUGUUAACCCCUAAUACACAGUGUUGCCAGUAUAACCACUAUAGAUUAAAGGGGUAUUCUCAUCUUAAUGAUCACUGUUAAAUCCUUGGCGUGUGCGUUCAGUCCAGCGCGCGGCCCGGCCGGGAGAAGACUUCAAUCAAGAUGGAACCCGCCCCCUGCCGAGUGACGAAACCAGGAAGUGGACAGCGUGCCGGGAGCAGGAAAGUAUGAAACGGCGUGUUGAGAAUACCCCUUUAAGUGACAGAUACACUAGAAGUAUUAACUACAAUUGUUGUUCAUUUUGUUUACUACGAGUUGCAGUAAAAACAAAAGCUAAAAUUUGUAUCUUGUGUUUAUUUGUUUUCUUUAAAAGUUGCAGUAGGAGGUUAUUGUUUUAUUCAUUAUUUUUUCUGUUAUUUUUCAUAGGAAUGCACUAAAUAUAAUUUUUUAAUACUAAGUACAAGUACUUCAGGUGCUCGCCGAUAGCGAUACUAUCGGGUCAUGCCAUGUGACAAAGAGAAGAGGACUUACCUCUGGCACAGCCGGUAGAUGCUGGAAUUGGAGUAAUGCAGCAUACCCAGGCAGCUAGAACAUGUUGAAAUCUGAGUGAUUAUUUUUUUUUUUAAACCACAGAAAGCAGGACUUUUCUUCCCUGUUGUGGUUUUAGGUAUUGGGUAAAGUAUCGCAGCAUUUCUAAGCGUACUUGUGUAAAUGCAUCGUUGUUAUAUCUGCCCCCCCCUACUUUUGUCCUGGCCCCCACUGUGCCCCCCCCCCAAAAAAAAUGUGAAAGCUAGAGAUGCCACUGCGCAGUAUAUAUUAACUUUUUUAUGGCUUUAGAAGAGAUAAUAACAGAAAUUAGAUUGUCCUUUAAAUAUUUUUCGAAAGCCACACAAAUCUAUUUGAACAUGCUGUAUAGGGUAUUGCUGUAUAAGGUAUUUUGAAAAAGUGAGGUCGCUUUGGCAGAUGAAUACAUACAUUGGAUAUAUGGCAUAGUUAAUGUUAUAUAUAUAAUGUUAUAUGCAACUGAAGUGUUUACUUUUCACCUCUCAUAUAUUACAUUUUUUCCACUUAUCCAACUUGUGUUCAAACUUCCAUAAUGGAAAGAGACUUUGUGGUCAAUGCAUUUAUGUGUGAAUUAUUAGUUGGCGAUUGGCAGUUUCAAGGCUAGUGCCAACUGUGUAUGAAGGCUUUUCUCUGGCCGACUAGAAAUAACAAAUAUAUUGUCAGCAAAAAGCCUAAUUAUACAUAGGAAAUAGACUUGACGCAAUCAUGAGAGUCACUAAUCUACAACGUAACUGACACUGAAAUGGAGAUACACCGAGCUGUGUGAGGCUUGGCUGGAUGUCUACCCAGGAUACAUAAUUCCCUGGUGCUAAUCUGACAGCUUCAAACCAUUUAUUCCAUUACAAUAUGAACCAGCAAUGUAAUUAUAUAAAAUAUAUCAACACUUGUGCUUUUCAAUACUUUGCUUUUUUGUUUUGUUUCUGGCGAAGUGGUGCCAUAUGGAUGAAGAACCUAGAGAAUGCUUCAAACAUUUUAAUACAGUUGGUCUUCAUCAUUUCAAGUCAUACAGCUCCUACAAAGAGAUAGUGACCUUUUUACGGACCCAGCGGACAUCACGCCAAUGCCAGCGACACCCUGGAACCAGCUGGUUCUUUAAUUUAUUGCAAAGUCUACCCUAUGGUGGAUUUUAUUAGGGUGGCAUGACUUAUUAUACCUUUGGACUGCAGAUAUAAAGAUAGUUUGAAGACUGAACUGCAUAUGGUGAAAUGUUCUGGAAAGCAUCAUUUGUGGAAUUCAGUUGUGUCACCAAUCAUAUUAGGAGCAGACAUGUGGGGCUUUCCUGAAGGCAGGCUCCAUGGACAGACUUUGCUCAGCGCUUUUCUUCUUGCUUAGGACAAAAGAAGCCAAAUGCACUAAAACACACACUU